Molecule: ribosomal RNA, 460 nt
Filed under: uncultured bacterium
Lineage: Bacteria
Description: partial 16S ribosomal RNA
Rfam family: Bacterial small subunit ribosomal RNA
Source: RNAcentral
CCUACGGGAGGCAGCAGUGAGGAAUAUUGGUCAAUGGGCGAAAGCCUGAACCAGCCAAGUAGCGUGAAGGAUGACUGCCCUAUGGGUUGUAAACUUCUUUUAUAUGGGAAUAAAAUGCUCUACGUGUGGGGCUUUGCAUGUACCAUAUGAAUAAAGACCGGCUAAUUCCGUGCCAGCAGCCGCGGUAAUACGGAGGGUCCGGGCGUUAUCCGGAUUUAUUGGGUUUAAAGGGAGCGUAGGCGGGUUGUUAAGUCCGGUGUGAAAGGUUGCGGCUCAACCGGAAAAUUGCAGUUGAAACUGGCAGUCUUGAGUACAGGAGAGGUGGGCGGAAUUCGUGGUGUAGCGGUGAAAUGCUUAGAUAUCACGAAGAACUCCGAUUGCGAAGGCAGCUCGCUGGACUGCAACUGACACUGAGGCUCGAAAGCGUGGGUAUCAAACAGGAUUAGAUACCCGAGUAGUC